This 72-nucleotide transfer RNA is filed under the name Phrynosoma platyrhinos (Desert horned lizard). RNAcentral's name for it is "tRNA-OTHER". It matches the Rfam family "tRNA". From Rfam's summary of the family: Transfer RNA (tRNA) molecules are approximately 80 nucleotides in length. The record is from RNAcentral. Lineage: Eukaryota; Metazoa; Chordata; Lepidosauria; Squamata; Phrynosomatidae.
GCCAGUGUGGCAUAAUGGUUUGAGCACUAGACUAUGACUCUGGAGACCAGGGUUCGAUUCCCUGCUCGGGCA